UGGCUCUCGCACCGAUGAAGAACGCAGCGAAAUGCGAUAAGUAAUGUGAAUUGCAGAAUUCAGUGAAUCAUCGAAUCUUUGAACGCACCUUGCACCUUUUGGUAUUCCGAAAGGUACACCCGUUUGAGUGUCAUUGUAAUCUCACUCCUUCAACUUUGUUGUUGCUGGAUGUGGACCUGGACUCUGUCGUGUUACAGCGACUGGUCUGAAAUGCCUGAGUGCACCCUGCUGUUGCAGCGUCUUCAGUGUGAUAAGCAUCUUCACUGAUUCAAGUUCCUUCGGGACACGUAGCAUUGUAGGCUCUGUGCUGACAAACCGUCCUCUUUUGGACAAUCUUUGACAAUUUGACCUCAAAUCGGGUGGGACUACCCGCUGA
This 376-nucleotide unclassified non-coding RNA is filed under the name uncultured fungus. RNAcentral's name for it is "partial contains 5.8S ribosomal RNA and internal transcribed spacer 2". The stretch from base 1 to 133 matches the Rfam family "5.8S ribosomal RNA", at positions 22 to 154 of the family's 154-position model. Lineage: Eukaryota; Fungi. The record is from RNAcentral.